This 498-nucleotide ribosomal RNA is filed under the name uncultured beta proteobacterium. RNAcentral's name for it is "bacterial SSU rRNA". It matches the Rfam family "Bacterial small subunit ribosomal RNA", at positions 9 to 519 of the family's 1533-position model. Lineage: Bacteria; Pseudomonadati; Pseudomonadota; Betaproteobacteria. The record is from RNAcentral.
GAGUUUGAUCCUGGCUCAGAUUGAACGCUGGCGGCAUGCCUUACACAUGCAAGUCGAACGGCAGCGGGGGAGAAGCUUGCUUCUCCUGCCGGCGAGUGGCGAACGGGUGAGUAAUACAUCGGAACGUGCCCUGUAGUGGGGGAUAACUAGUCGAAAGAUUAGCUAAUACCGCAUACGACCUGAGGGUGAAAGUGGGGGACCGCAAGGCCUCAUGCUAUAGGAGCGGCCGAUGUCUGAUUAGCUAGUUGGUGGGGUAAAGGCCUACCAAGGCGACGAUCAGUAGCUGGUCUGAGAGGAUGAUCAGCCACACUGGGACUGAGACACGGCCCAGACUCCUACGGGAGGCAGCAGUGGGGAAUAUUGGACAAUGGGCGCAAGCCUGAUCCAGCCAUGCCGCGUGAGUGAUGAAGGCCCUAGGGUUGUAAAGCUCUUUUGUGCGGGAAGAUAAUGACUGUACCGCAAGAAUAAGCCCCGGCUAACUUCGUGCCAGCCGCCGUA